RNAcentral lists this long non-coding RNA (1261 nucleotides) under Rattus norvegicus (Norway rat). RNAcentral describes it as "long non-coding RNA NONRATT031749". Lineage: Eukaryota; Metazoa; Chordata; Mammalia; Rodentia; Muridae. The record is from RNAcentral.
CCGCAGCCCUCAGCCACCCAGCUCACCAGCCAGGCCUGAGCCCUCCGGAGCUGCACUUCUCAGCCGGACCCGAGGCGCACACGCUGUACCGCACGGUAGUCAGAACCACCACACUCACCAGGAAUCUGAUGAAGAGUUCGACAAUUAGCUUUCAAGAAUACAACUGUCAUAUCCCAGAAUUGGAGCAUGAUUCAAAAGCCUAUUGGUUGUCCUUCGUGGAAAGGGAGGGACUUUAACAAAAUAUUGUUGAUUGGCUGUCUUAAAAGCCACAGAAGAGUACUUGUUUUGAAGCCAGGCAAUUCCAAGAUCAAGACAUUGUGGAUUCUGAAUUUCAGUGUGUCUGGUGUGGGCCCCCAACCCAAAUUUGGUAAACGAGGUCUUUGGUACGCAUCCUCACAGGCUGGAGUGGCAAGGCAGCUGUUUGACAUGCUUUGUCAACUCCAUUCCUGAGAGCUCCAUCCCCAAGACCUAAUCUCUUCCCAUAGGCCAGGCUACUGACAUUGGUGACUUCAUUCGUCAUCUAUGUCUGAGGUAGUAGACACGGACAUACAGACUAUAGAACUCAAGCUGCCUAUCCCUGUUCUCGUUAGACUUCUGUUUCUGUAUCUGCCUAAGAAAAAUGCUGCAAACCCCGAAUGGCACAGAGUAAGCAAGAGAAUCUCAGAACUGCAAGGCACCAUUCACCUGAGAGGAAUUUGACAAACCCCACAUUGAAUCUAAAAAAUACCUUCAAAGUAAGAAUUAAAUGCACUCGGCCCUAUGAGGAAACUCACCAAACAAGACAAAUUAAUGGAGUCGCGUCACCGUGCAAUAAUCUUUGGGUUUUACUAACUACAGAAAAGUCGCGCAUGAAUGGCCCUCGUGAGAACGUGGAGAAUAUGUGGAGUGUGAUAGAGGCCCAUUCUCCUAGCCUAGAUUGCCAAGUGUAUCCAGUGAAGCCUCUGAUUUAAAAUGGUGGAAUGAAUACGCUCAGGGGACGCAUUCGGCAUUGUGAGUGCUGUAAUUCAAGGUACGUGAAAAACAGCCAUCUCCAAGGAGCCAGAGGAUUGAAUUGUAGGGAACAGUGCUGGUAUUUCUGUUUCUAAGCUAUUUAAAAUUUAACAAAUUUGACAAAUUCACAUGCAGAAUUUGUUAAUAUCAUAAAUAUAAUCCACCUAUGACUAUGCCAAUAGCUAUAGAUCUUCAACUACUUAGGGUAUUAAUCUUCUCUAUAUUUUCAAAAUAUUACCCUACAAAAUAUCUUUAUUAAAUCAAGUUUAAC